Molecule: ribosomal RNA, 343 nt
Filed under: uncultured bacterium
Lineage: Bacteria
Description: bacterial SSU rRNA
Rfam family: Bacterial small subunit ribosomal RNA
Source: RNAcentral
GAUGAACGCCGGCGGUGUGCCUAAUACAUGCAAGUCGUACGCACUGGCCCAACUGAUUGAUGGUGCUUGCACCUGAUUGACGAUGGAUCACCAGUGAGUGGCGGACGGGUGAGUAACACGUAGGUAACCUGCCCCGGAGCGGGGGAUAACAUUUGGAAACAGAUGCUAAUACCGCAUAACAACAAAAGCCGCAUGGUUUUUGUUUGAAAGAUGGCUUUGGCUAUCACUCUGGGAUGGACCUGCGGUGCAUUAGCUAGUUGGUAAGGUAACGGCUUACCAAGGCGAUGAUGCAUAGCCGAGUUGAGAGACUGAUCGGCCACAUUGGGACUGAGACACGGCCCAA